CGGAGGCUAACAGGUUUGCCGGAGAAGGCAGGGGUGAGCCACGGUGGCUGCCCGGCUGUGCACCGGCGCCGGAGUUUGGACCAAGACAAAGACAGGAGCUGUCCGCGGUGCUGAAUCGGCGGCGCCGUCGCCGGAGCAAGGGGGCUUCUGUAACCAGCCCUCUGCUCAUUUACUCCCCAUCCUUCUAGCUCCCCUUCGCUCUGUGACUCUUGCCUUCCCCUGAAUUUAUUUCCCUUUUGGGGGACUCACCUUAGAACCUGCGCCCUGUACACAGGUGUAUAUACAUAUAUCAAAGAACAAAACGAUUGAUU
This 311-nucleotide long non-coding RNA is filed under the name Homo sapiens (human). RNAcentral describes it as "HSALNT0370525". The record is from RNAcentral. Lineage: Eukaryota; Metazoa; Chordata; Mammalia; Primates; Hominidae.